RNAcentral lists this long non-coding RNA (483 nucleotides) under Gorilla gorilla gorilla (western lowland gorilla). RNAcentral describes it as "lncRNA (ENSGGOG00000044394.1)". The record is from RNAcentral. Lineage: Eukaryota; Metazoa; Chordata; Mammalia; Primates; Hominidae.
AGAGACUCUAAGAACUGCACUGGAAUUGGAUCCACACUCUGAACUUGACCAAAAGCUGCGGAAGCACAUAAUGAAAAACCUUUUGAAGAAGAUUGAUGAAGGCCAGCCUAUAGAGUAUGUAUCUGAAUUCCGUACGAUGACUCUGGUUUUGGUCAGCCUAGAGUUCCACAGGACAGCGUGGAUGUUGCAUUUGUGUCAUCUUAUCCAGGAGGCUGCCUUAUACAUCUCCACAGUCAUUGAGAAAGGGGGUGGCCAGCUGAGUCGCAUCUUUAUGUUUGAGAAAGGCUGCAUGUUCCUCUGUGUUUUCGGCCUUCCUGGUGAUAAGAAGCCAGACGAGUGUGCACAUGCCCUGGAGAGCUCCUUCAGCAUCUUCAGCUUCUGCUGGGAGAAUCUUGCUAAGACCAAGUGAGGAGGAAGGUGGGGCAGAGAGGGGCUUCUCAGGCCCCAGGGGCUCUUCAGGCAGGGUAGGAGGCAGUAACAAGU